CUCUCCAUUUAGCAUCAAAGUCCU
Molecule: non-coding RNA, 24 nt
Filed under: Arabidopsis thaliana (thale cress)
Lineage: Eukaryota; Viridiplantae; Streptophyta; Magnoliopsida; Brassicales; Brassicaceae
Source: RNAcentral